This 589-nucleotide ribosomal RNA is filed under the name uncultured bacterium. RNAcentral's name for it is "partial 16S ribosomal RNA". It matches the Rfam family "Bacterial small subunit ribosomal RNA", at positions 355 to 1376 of the family's 1533-position model. The record is from RNAcentral.
UGGGGAAUUCUGGACAAUGGGCGCAAGCCUGAUCCAGCCAUGCCGCGUGCGGGAAGAAGGCCUUCGGGUUGUAAACCGCUUUUGUCAGGGAAGAAAUCUUCUGAGUUAAUACCUCGGGAGGAUGACGGUACCUGAAGAAUAAGCACCGGCUAACUACGUGCCAGCAGCCGCGGUAAUACGUAGGGUGCAAGCGUUAAUCGGAAUUACUGGGCGUAAAGCGUGCGCAGGCGGUUUUGUAAGACAGAGGUGAAAUCCCCGGGCUCAACCUGGGAACUGCCUUUGUGACUGCAAGGCUUGAGUGCGGCAGAGGGGGGAUGGAAUUCCGCGUGUAGCAGUGAAAUGCGUAGAUAUGCGGAGGAAACACCGAUGGCGAAGGCAAUCCCCUGGGCCUGCACUGACGCUCAUGCACGAAAGCGUGGGGAGCAAAACAGGAUUAGAUACCCUGGUAGUCCACGCCCUAAACGAUGUCAACUGGUUGUUGGGAAGGUUCCUUCUCAGUAACGUAGCUAACGCGUGAAGUUGACCGCCUGGGGAGUACGGCCGCAAGGUUGAAACUCAAAUGAAUUGACGGGGUCAUAGCUGUUUCCUG